RNAcentral lists this ribosomal RNA (645 nucleotides) under uncultured Pichia. Its description in RNAcentral is "eukaryotic LSU rRNA". The stretch from base 238 to 391 matches the Rfam family "5.8S ribosomal RNA". Lineage: Eukaryota; Fungi; Ascomycota; Saccharomycetes; Saccharomycetales; Saccharomycetaceae. The record is from RNAcentral.
CUUGGUCAUUUAGAGGAAGUAAAAGUCGUAACAAGGUUUCCGUAGGUGAACCUGCGGAAGGAUCAUUACAGUAUUCUUUUGCCAGCGCUUAACUGCGCGGCGAAAAACCUUACACACAGUGUCUUUUUGAUACAGAACUCUUGCUUUGGUUUGGCCUAGAGAUAGGUUGGGCCAGAGGUUUAACAAAACACAAUUUAAUUAUUUUUACAGUUAGUCAAAUUUUGAAUUAAUCUUCAAAACUUUCAACAACGGAUCUCUUGGUUCUCGCAUCGAUGAAGAACGCAGCGAAAUGCGAUAAGUAAUAUGAAUUGCAGAUUUUCGUGAAUCAUCGAAUCUUUGAACGCACAUUGCGCCCUCUGGUAUUCCAGAGGGCAUGCCUGUUUGAGCGUCAUUUCUCUCUCAAACCCCCGGGUUUGGUAUUGAGUGAUACUCUUAGUCGGACUAGGCGUUUGCUUGAAAAGUAUUGGCAUGGGUAGUACUGGAUAGUGCUGUCGACCUCUCAAUGUAUUAGGUUUAUCCAACUCGUUGAAUGGUGUGGCGGGAUAUUUCUGGUAUUGUUGGCCCGGCCUUACAACAACCAAACAAGUUUGACCUCAAAUCAGGUAGGAAUACCCGCUGAACUUAAGCAUAUCAAUAAGCGGAGGA